Molecule: long non-coding RNA, 342 nt
Filed under: Carica papaya (papaya)
Lineage: Eukaryota; Viridiplantae; Streptophyta; Magnoliopsida; Brassicales; Caricaceae
Description: long non-coding RNA (CPAP_LNC014332)
Source: RNAcentral
UUUUUUUUGGAACACGUGCAGGUACUGUUAGUGUGUUUCAGUUUCCCGGGAAAAAUUCAGGGAAAAUUAGGGACAGCCUGCAGGCGCACUGUGAAUCGUAUUCGGAUCUCGAAAACAAGUAAGGACCCCUCACCCUAUUUCCUAUCACGGUAUUAAAGUUCAAAAUUAUAAAACGGUAUUUCUUGAAUUAACGCAUGUGUGAAAUUGCUUAAGGUUGCUAAUGGAGCCCGAGUCUAGUGUGAUUGGUGAUUUACUGUUAUUUGGCCUGUUUACAGCUUUAAAUGCAAAAUGAGGUUUGAUGUGUUCAUUUUACAGAUUUGUGUGCAUAUACUACGUUUUUAU